This 162-nucleotide ribosomal RNA is filed under the name Tubeufia sp. RNAcentral describes it as "partial large subunit ribosomal RNA". It matches the Rfam family "Eukaryotic large subunit ribosomal RNA", at positions 99 to 261 of the family's 3401-position model. The record is from RNAcentral. Lineage: Eukaryota; Fungi; Ascomycota; Dothideomycetes; Tubeufiales; Tubeufiaceae.
CGGCAAUAGCUCAAAUUUGAAAUCUGGGUCUUGGCCCCGAAUUGUAAUUUGUAGAGGAUGCUUCGGCUUAUGUCUCGGUCUAAGUUCCUUGGAACAGGACGUCACAGAGGGUGAGAAUCCCGUUUGUGGCCGACGACUUCCGCCAUGUGAAGCUCCUUCGAC